Molecule: ribosomal RNA, 500 nt
Filed under: uncultured bacterium
Lineage: Bacteria
Description: partial 16S ribosomal RNA
Rfam family: Bacterial small subunit ribosomal RNA
Source: RNAcentral
AUUGAACGCUGGCGGAAUGCUUUACACAUGCAAGUCGAACGGCAGCACGGACUUCGGUCUGGUGGCGAGUGGCGAACGGGUGAGUAACAUAUCGGAACGUAUCCAAUAAUGGGGGAUAACGAGUCGAAAGAUUCGCUAAUACCGCAUACGCCCUACGGGGGAAAGCUGGGGACCUUCGGGCCUGGCGUUAAUGGAGCGGCCGAUAUCUGAUUAGCUAGUUGGUGAGGUAAAGGCUCACCAAGGCGACGAUCAGUAGCUGGUCUGAGAGGACGACCAGCCACACUGGAACUGAGACACGGUCCAGACUCCUCCGGGAGGCAGCAGUGGGGAAUUUUGGACAAUGGGCGCAAGCCUGAUCCAGCCAUUCCGCGUGAGUGAAGAAGGCCUACGGGUUGUAAAGCUCUUUCGCAAGGGAAGAAAACUUAGCCACUAACAUUGGUUGAGGUUGACGGUACCUUGAUAAGAAGCACCGGCUAACUACGUGCCAGCAGCCGCCGUAA